UCCUACGGGAGGCAGCAGUGGGGAAUAUUGCACAAUGGGGGAAACCCUGAUGCAGCGACGCCGCGUGAGUGAAGAAGUAUUUCUGUACGUAAAGCUCUAUCCGCAGGGAAGAAAAUGACGGUACCUGACUAAGAAGCCCCGGCUAACUACGUGCCAGCAGCCGCGGUAAUACGUAGGGGGCAAGCGUUAUCCGGAUUUACUGGGUGUAAGGGGAGCGUAGGCGGGACGGCAAGUCAGAUGUGAAAACUGAGGGCUCAACCUUCAGACUGCAUUUGAAACUGCUGUUCUUGAGUGAAGUAGAGGUA
Molecule: ribosomal RNA, 305 nt
Filed under: uncultured bacterium
Lineage: Bacteria
Description: bacterial SSU rRNA
Rfam family: Bacterial small subunit ribosomal RNA
Source: RNAcentral